Molecule: ribosomal RNA, 657 nt
Filed under: Triticum aestivum (bread wheat)
Lineage: Eukaryota; Viridiplantae; Streptophyta; Magnoliopsida; Poales; Poaceae
Description: partial small subunit ribosomal RNA
Source: RNAcentral
AUGGAGAAGGUGUCAGACACGGGCGAUCCCUCAACAGCGGCGACCCCCGCCGCAGCCAACCUGUUUCAGCCGCGGAGAGCCGCCGUGCUGGUCUGCCUCUUCCACGACGCUGCCGGCGAGCUCCGUGUCCUCCUCACCAAGCGCGCUUCCUCACUCUCCACCCACUCCGGGGAGGUUGCAUUGCCCGGAGGAAAGGCAGAGGAGGGUGAUGCUGAUGAUGCAGCAACGGCAUUAAGGGAGGCAAAGGAGGAGAUUGGGCUUGAUCCAACCUUGGUCACUGUCGUCUCCUCGCUUGAGCACUUCUUGUCCAAGCAUCUUCUGGUAGUUGUUCCUGUUGUUGGCAUACUCUCAGAUAUACAGGCUUUCAAACCUGUCCUUGAUGUUGAUGAGGUGGACGACAUUUUUGAUGUACCCCUAGAGAUGUUCCUCAAGGAUGAGCGCAGGAGAUCCGAGGAGCGAGAAUGGAUGGGGCAGGCGUUCACACUUCACCACUUUGAUUAUGAGAAAGGCGACAAGACGUAUGUAAUCUGGGGUCUGACUGCCGGCAUCUUGAUUCAUGCGGCUUCAGUUGUAUACCAGCGGCCACCAGACUUUGCGGAGCGAAGAGUACAAUUCAACCUGCCGAAGUGCUCAAAGGAGCCUUCUCCAAUGCCAUGA